GGGGAGGUCCAUAGUAGGCCAUGCACUGCCCUGCUCCCUUGGCCUUGGACAUCCACCUCCCCUUCGAUAAAGUGCUCCAGUGGGUGAAGCCUAUGGAGAGGCAGCGAACGGAUACACGCGAAGGCUGAACUCGGACCCUGAACUUGGGCCGACUAGGAAAGGCUCGCUCCGCCCUCCCUCAACACUACUGCGGCUGCGUCAGCGAGCUGCGGCCCACACUCAACAUGGCGGCGGCGGCGCCGGCGGCCUUCUGCCCUUCUCCAUCAUGGCGGUAACCGGACCCGCCUCCGUGGGCGCCGGAGUCAUGUGACCCACACAAUGGCUGAGCGCCUACUCCAGGCUUCCCGGCAACGCCGAGUGAAAGCCAUGACGGCCGCCGCGGGUUCGGCGGGCCAAGCCGCGGUGCCCCUGCUGCUGUGCGCGCUGCUGGCGCCCGGCGGCGCGUACGUGCUCGACGACUCCGACGGGCUGGGCCGGGAGUUCGACGGCAUCGGAGCGGUCAGCGGCGGCGGGGCCACCUCCCGACUUCUAGUAAAUUACCCAGAGCCCUAUCGUUCUCAAAUACUGGAUUAUCUCUUUAAGCCAAACUUUGGUGCCUCUUUGCAUAUUCUGAAAGUUGAAAUAGGUGGUGAUGGGCAGACAACAGAUGGCACCGAGCCCUCCCACAUGCACUAUGAAUUAGAUGAGAAUUAUUUCCGAGGAUAUGAGUGGUGGUUAAUGAAGGAAGCUAAGAAGCGGAACCCUAAUAUCACACUCAUGGGGCUGCCAUGGUCAUUCCCUGGAUGGCUGGGGAAAGGUUUCAACUGGCCUUAUGUAAAUCUUCAGCUGACUGCCUACUACGUCGUGACCUGGAUUGUGGGCGCCAAGCAUUAUCAUGAUCUGGACAUUGAUUAUAUCGGAAUUUGGAAUGAGAGGGCAUUUGACAUCAAUUAUAUCAAGGUGUUAAGAAGAAUGCUGAACUAUCAAGGUCUCCAGCAAGUGAAAAUCAUAGCAAGUGAUAAUCUCUGGGAGCCCAUUUCUGCUUCUAUGCUGCUUGACUCUGAGCUCUUGAAGGUGAUUGAUGUUAUAGGAGCUCAUUACCCUGGGACCCAUACAGUAAAGGAUGCUAGGUUGACUGGGAAGAAGCUUUGGUCUUCUGAAGAUUUUAGCACUUUAAAUAGUGAUGUGGGUGCAGGCUGCUGGGGUCGCAUAUUGAAUCAGAAUUAUAUCAAUGGCUACAUGACUGCCACAAUUGCUUGGAAUUUGGUGGCUAGUUACUAUGAACAGUUGCCGUACGGGCGUUGUGGACUGAUGACUGCUCAGGAGCCCUGGAGCGGGCACUAUGUAGUAGAAGCUCCUAUCUGGAUAGCAGCUCAUACCACUCAGUUUACUCAACCAGGUUGGUAUUACCUGAAGACAGUUGGCCAUUUAGAAAAAGGAGGAAGCUAUGUAGCUCUGACGGAUGGCUUAGGUAACCUCACCAUCAUCAUUGAAACUAUGAGUCAUAAGCAUUCCAUGUGUAUACGGCCACUUCUUCCCUAUUUCAAUGUUUCACAACAAUUUGCUACCUUCAUUCUUAAGGGUUCUUUUAGUGAAAUACCAGAGCUGCAGGUGUGGUAUACCAAACUUGGAAAACCAUCAGAGAGAUUUCUUUUCAAACAACUGGAUUCUCUAUGGCUCCUAGACAGCGGCGGCCGCUUCACGCUGGACCUGCAGGAGGACGGGCUGCUCACGCUCACCACGCUCAGCACCGGCAGCAAAGGCAGUCACCCGCUGCCUCCGAGGUCCCAGCCCUUUCCCCGCGUCUAUAAGGAUGACUUCAAUGUCGAUUACCCAUUUUUUAGUGAAGCUCCGAAUUUUGCUGAUCAGACUGGUGUAUUUGAAUACUUUAUGAAUAUUGAAGACCCUGGAGAGCAUCGCUUCACGCUGCGCCAGGUUCUCAAUCAAAGGCCCAUUACUUGGGCUGCUGAUGCAUUCAACACCAUCAGUAUUAUAGGAGAUUACAAAUGGUCCAAUUUGACUGUAAAGUGUGAUGUGUACAUAGAGACCCCUGAGAAGGGAGGUGUGUUCAUUGCUGGAAGAGUGAAUAAAGGUGGUAUUUUGAUUAGAAGUGCCAGGGGAGUUUUCUUCUGGAUAUUUGCAAAUGGAAUCUACAGAGUUACGGGUGAUCUAGCUGGAUGGAUCAUAUAUACUUCAGGACAUGCUGACGUUACAGCAAAAAAAUGGUAUACACUCACUUUAACUAUUAAUGGUGGUUUCUCUUCUGGCACGCUGAAUGGCAAGCCUCUCUGGAAGAACGUCUCUGUGAACUUCCCGAAGAAUGGCUGGGCUGCGAUUGGAACUCACUCCUUUGAAUUUGCACAGUUUGAUAACUUUCGUGUGGAAGCCAUACACUAAUACAGAGUGCCAUAGAACACUCUCUGGAUUUUCUUUCUUUUUGGUUUUGGUUCAGAGCCAUUUCUGGUUUUGAUGGAUCAAUAUAGGAGCCUUUUGGAAGCUACAAAUAAUGAAGAGUAAAUGAGGAGAAAAAUAUAUUUUUGCUUGAUCAUCUUGAAGAUUUUUUUUUUUAGAAUUCCAAGGGGAAACAGAUGAAUCUUUAAUAUGACCUGAUACGUCCCGUAGAUAGGACACUAGGUGACUGGAAGGAGGAAGAAAACCCUAUGUAGCCAGUGCUGUGAGUGGGUCCAAAGGUAAAAUUGUAGCAGUUUUCUUGUGUUUCAUUUCAUUGUGCCUUUCAUGGUGUGUCUUCUCUUGUGGCACUGGUGACAAACUGAAAUAACUAAUGAACACUUUUAUCUCCUCAUGCCUGGAAUAAAAGGAACACCUAUCUAGUUCAUAGAAUUGGAUCAUCCUCUAAUAUUUUGUGUGGUUAGAAGCAUUUCUUUUGUUAAAGUACAAAUAUAUUUAAGUAUAGGUGAGCAUAUUUCUCAUGCAGUAUAAUUUAUAUCUAAUCAUUAGUGUACCUCCUAGAAGCAAAUCAAUUAUUCAUGUGGAUAAAGUAAAUUCUGGAAUUUUUUAUAAUGAAAGUUUAAAACUAUUGAACUAAUUCUACAAUUUUGGAAUUUGUAGUGAUUUAAUGUAGACUAAACUGACAUGAAGUUUUGUAUUACUAUUGGAGACAAGAAGCUAAAUAUUAGAGUAAAUCAGAUUACAGAGAAAAUUUUAAAAUUAAAACCAAGUCUAAGUGAUUUCCAGUUUAGGUCCCUACAUAUUUUUUAAAAUUAACUUUAUUGAGGUAUAGCUUACAUACAAUAAAAUGUUCCCAUUUUAAGUUUACAGUUCAAUGAGUCUUGAUAAAUGGAUAUAACCAAGAUAUUGAACAUUUCCAUCACUCCAGAAAGUUCUCUUGUAUACCUGUGCAGUCAUUUCCCCUCAUCCCCACCCCAAUCCCAGGCAACCAUCAAUCUGAUUUCUAUUACUGUUGAUAAGUUUUCUUUGUUCCAAAACAUUAUAAAAGUGGCAUCAUACACUUUGUACCCUUUUAUGAAUGGUUUCUUUUACUCAGCAGAAAGUGUUUGAGAUUUGUUUAUGUGCUGUGUAUAUCAAAGGUUUGCUCCUAAUUUCAAAGAGUAUUCCAUUGAAGGGGUAUACCACAGUUUGUCCCCCCAAUUUUUGGUAUUACAAAUAAAGCUGUUGUGAACAUUUGUGUACAAGUCUUUGUGUGGACAUAUGUUUUCACUUUUUCUGGGUAAAUACCAAGGAGUGAAAUUGCUUGAUCUUUUUGGAAAGUGUAUGUUUAACUUUAUAAGAAACUAUCAAACUGUUUUCCAAAAUAAUUGUAUGAUUUUACACUCCCAUUAGAAAUGUUUGAGAGUUUCCGUUGCUCUGCAUUCUUGACAGUGCUUCCUAUUGUUAUUCUUUUUAAUUUUAACCCUUUCUUGUGAGCUUGUAGUAGGUGCAUUAGCUGCUGGGCAUCUUUUCAAGGACUUAUUUCUCAUUCAUAUAUUUUUUUUGUGAAAUGAUUGUUCCAAUCUUUUCCUUUUUUUUUUGUU
This is an RNA transcript of Balaenoptera musculus (blue whale), 3971 nucleotides long. It is a transcript of the gene named galactosylceramidase, with no coding region annotated. Lineage: Eukaryota; Metazoa; Chordata; Mammalia; Artiodactyla; Balaenopteridae. The transcript is spliced from 18 exons. The record is from RefSeq and is a predicted model, not a curated record.